ACCCUGCUUCCAAGAAAAGCCUCUAAGCUUCAGUUAUCCAGAGACCGUACCGCAAACCGACACAGGUGGGCAGGAUGAAAAUUCUCAGGCGCUUGAGAGAACUCAGGAGAAGGAACUCGGCAAAUUUGCACCGUAACUUCGGGAGAAGGUGCGCCCUGAUAGGUUGUAGCCCCUCGCGGGUGAAGGCUGAAAGGGAUGCAGUGAACUGGUGGCUGCGACUGUUUAAUAAAAACACAGCACUCUGCAAACACGAAAGUGGACGUAUAGGGUGUGACGCCUGCCCGGUGCCGGAAGGUUAAGUGAUGGGGUGCAAGCUCUUGAUCGAAGCCCCGGUAAACGGCGGCCGUAACCAUAACGGUCCUAAGGUAGCGAAAUUCCUUGUCGGGUAAGUUCCGACCUGCACGAAUGGCGUAACGAUGGCCACACUGUCUCCUCCUGAGACUCAGCGAAGUUGAAAUGGUUGUGAAGAUGCAAUCUCCCCGCGGUUAGACGGAAAGACCCCAUGAACCUUUACUGUAGCUUUGCAUUGGACUUUGAACCGACUUGUGUAGGAUAGGUGGGAGGCUGUGAAACCGGGACGCUAGUCCGGGUGGAGCCAACCUUGAAAUACCACCCUGGUUUGUUUGAGGUUCUAACCACGGCCCGUGAAUCCGGGUCUGGGACCGUGCAUGGUAGGCAGUUUGACUGGGGCGGUCUCCUCCUAAAGUGUAACGGAGGAGUACGAAGGUACGCUAGGUACGGUCGGACAUCGUGCUAAUAGUGCAAUGGCAAAAGCGUGCUUGACUGCGAGACCCACACGUCGAGCAGGUACGAAAGUAGGUCAUAGUGAUCCGGUGGUUCUGUAUGGAAGGGCCAUCGCUCAACGGAUAAAAGGUACUCUGGGGAUAACAGGCUAAUACCGCCCAAGAGUUCAUAUCGACGGCGGUGUUUGGCACCUCGAUGUCGGCUCAUCACAUCCUGGGGCUGUAGUCGGUCCCAAGGGUAUGGCUGUUCGCCAUUUAAAGUGGUACGUGAGCUGGGUUUAAAACGUCGUGAGACAGUUUGGUCCCUAUCUGCCGUGGGCGCUGGAAAUUUGAAGGGGGCUGCUACUAGUACGAGAGGACCGGAGUGGACGAACCUCUGGUGUACCGGUUAUGACGCCAGUCGUAUCGCCGGGUAGCUAUGUUCGGAAGAGAUAAACGCUGAAAGCAUCUAAGCGUGAAACUCGCCUUAAGAUGAGAUUUCCCCGGGGACUCGAUCCCCCUGAAGGGUCGUGGUAGACCACUACGUUGAUAGGCUGGGUGUGGAAGCGCAGCAAUGCGUUCAGCUAACCAGUACUAAUUGCCCGUGAGGCUUGAUCC
Molecule: ribosomal RNA, 1340 nt
Filed under: metagenome
Description: bacterial LSU rRNA
Rfam family: Bacterial large subunit ribosomal RNA
Source: RNAcentral